This 683-nucleotide ribosomal RNA is filed under the name uncultured marine bacterium. Its description in RNAcentral is "bacterial SSU rRNA". It matches the Rfam family "Bacterial small subunit ribosomal RNA", at positions 8 to 673 of the family's 1533-position model. The record is from RNAcentral.
AGAGUUUGAUCAUGGCUCAGGACGAACGCUGGCGGCGUGCUUAACACAUGCAAGUCAAGGAGAACAUUUUCUUCGGAAAAUAAGUAAACUGGCGAACGGGUGAGUAACACGUGGGUAACCUACCCUGUAGACUGGGAUAACCCCGAGAAAUCGGAGCUAAUACCAGAUAAUGCAGCGAGUCUUUCGGGACAUAGUUGUUAAAGCGGCCUUCGGGUCGCACUUUAGGAUGGGCCUGCGUCCGAUUAGUUAGUUGGUAAGGUAAUGGCUUACCAAGGCGAUGAUCGGUAGCUGGUUUGAGAGGAUGAUCAGCCACACUGGGAUUGAGAUACGGCCCAGACUCCUACGGGAGGCAGCAGUGGGGAAUUUUGCGCAAUGGGCGAAAGCCUGACGCAGCAACGCCGCGUGAUCGAUGAAGCUUUUCGGAGUGUAAAGAUCUGUCAUGAGGGAAGAACUAUCCUGAUGUAAAUAAUAUCAGGAUUUGACGGUACCUCAUAAGAAAGCACCGGCUAACUUAGUGCCAGCAGCCGCGGUAAUACUAGGGGUGCAAGCGUUGUCCGGAAUUACUGGGNCGUAAGGGGUGCGUAGGCGUCUACGUAAGUUGUUUGUUAAAUCCAUCGGCUUACCCGAUGAUCUGCAAACAAAACUGCAUAGAUAGAGUUUGGAAGAGNAAGUGGAAUUCCUGG